CAUUUUUAAAAGAGUACGUUGGUUAUUAACCCCCUGAUUUCGCAGCGUACGGUUUGUAUACUAUGCCGUUGAGAAAAUGUUGAUAAUGAUGGAUGACCCGUUAGCAGACUUAGCAAUAACCAUCACGGUUAAUAAUAUGCGGUCAAUGUUUUAAAGUGCCCCUGACACAAAAAUUGAUUUUUUGUGUAUUGAAAGUACACAUUAUGUGGAGUGUUUUGGUGAAAGAAUUUUUUGAUUUCAUUAAAAAGGAAAAAUUUUAGAGCGGUUUAAACUCACAAAUUUUUGGCACAUGGACGUCGGCUACAGGAGUCUGGGGAUAGCAUUUUUUGUGACGUCACGCAAGUGAGUCAAAUCUUGACGGUCUGUUCGACUUUUAUCAGUUUUGAUCAGCUCGAAGGUUUUGAUCGCUGAACGGCUGAAGUGUUUUUAUAUUCUAAGUUCUAUCAUGGUUCUAUAAAGUAUCAUGUCGACAACAGAGUCCGACAGUAGCGAUCAGUCCGAUGAUUCCAGUGCGAAUUUUAUACCUGGUUAAUAUAUGUUGUGUUGGAAGAUGCUGAUCAGCAACACGCCAGUUCCCUAGUAUUAUCAUUAAAACCACCAAAUCUACACGACGCGGACGUGACGAAAAACUGCCGCUAUUAUCACAAUUUCACUUCACGAGUAAAACUAUGGAUUGUUGUUGGUAAACAAAGCUAGGGGACACGAGAAAAAUAAAAUAAAACUAGUCUCCCAUUAUUAGCGACUGUUUUUAGUCUGCGUCUCAGAUUUGGCGCAUGUUAAUUUAAGCUCCUUGCCUGGCCCUCUGCUAACGUUCUAUGGCUUUGCAAAGUUUAUAUCUCCGGUUCGGUGCAUGCUAUGAAGACAAAAAUACUACGACUCGAUUCAGUGAAACAAAAUCUCCUAAUUCCCAGCGAUAGUUUUAGACUUUUAGUCAGAUACAGGCUAUAGUUUUAGUCAGAUGGUAUAGCUAUUUAUGACCUUUGUCUUUGACUUUGAUAGGUCAAGCGGUGUCAUAAUUCAUUAUAUUACUCAAUUUAUAGUCUCGAACAAUGUAAACUAGUCAUAUCUUUCGCCGAACCUAAAUUCAGCCCCUUUGGAAAUAUCUUUUUCGUAAUAGUCUUAUUCGAACCGGAAUCGAAAACACUAUUUAGAGUGUUAUUUUCAAGCUUGUGUCUUCAGAUUUGCAUCUUUCAUUUC
RNAcentral lists this long non-coding RNA (1197 nucleotides) under Paramuricea clavata. Lineage: Eukaryota; Metazoa; Cnidaria; Anthozoa; Malacalcyonacea; Plexauridae. The record is from RNAcentral.